Molecule: ribosomal RNA, 464 nt
Filed under: uncultured bacterium
Lineage: Bacteria
Description: partial 16S ribosomal RNA
Rfam family: Bacterial small subunit ribosomal RNA
Source: RNAcentral
CUACGGGUGGCAGCAGUGGGGAAUAUUGGACAAUGGGGGCAACCCUGAUCCAGCCAUGCCGCGUGUGUGAAGAAGGCCUUCGGGUUGUAAAGCACUUUCAACAGUGAGGAAAGGUUAGUAGUUAAUACCUGCUAGCUGUGACGUUAACUGUAGAAGAAGCACCGGCUAACUCCGUGCCAGCAGCCGCGGUAAUACGGAGGGUGCAAGCGUUAAUCGGAAUUACUGGGCGUAAAGCGCGCGUAGGUGGUUUGUUAAGCGAGAUGUGAAAGCCCCGGGCUCAACCUGGGAACUGCAUUUCGAACUGGCAGGCUAGAGUACAGAAGAGGAUAGUGGAAUUUCCAGUGUAGCGGUGAAAUGCGUAGAGAUUGGAAGGAACACCAGUGGCGAAGGCGACUGUCUGGUCUGAUACUGACACUGAGGUGCGAAAGCGUGGGUAGCAAACAGGAUUAGAUACCCGUGUAGUC